This is a non-coding RNA of Jatropha curcas, 343 nucleotides long. NCBI's taxonomy places the organism in Eukaryota, Viridiplantae, Streptophyta, Magnoliopsida, Malpighiales, Euphorbiaceae. The record is from RefSeq and is a predicted model, not a curated record.
UGAUAACUAAACCGCUUCCCACGAAGAAAUCAGACUCAACUUGUAAUGUUGCGCUAUACACAGUUCCAUAUUCAUGAGCAGUGCCAGCAAAUUCUAUGAUUGUCUUCUCAGGUACUCCGACAAACGAAACAAAGGGCUUAUCUUUUUCAACGGUAAUUUUCUCGGUAUAGGUUCCAGGUCCAAUAUCCACAAUCACGCGUUGUGCAUUUUUGGCUGGAAUGCUCUUAACAGCAUCUGUUAUAGUCUUGAACUCUCCACUUCCGUCUGCUCUCACCGUAAUAGUUUUGGGAGUAGCUUCAGCUGCUUCAAGGUCAGCAUUUAAAGUGCCCUUACGAUCUGCCAA